RNAcentral lists this ribosomal RNA (454 nucleotides) under uncultured bacterium. RNAcentral's name for it is "partial 16S ribosomal RNA". It matches the Rfam family "Bacterial small subunit ribosomal RNA", at positions 28 to 507 of the family's 1533-position model. The record is from RNAcentral.
GAUGAACGCUGACAGAAUGCUUAACACAUGCAAGUCAACUUGAACUUCGGUUUGGGUGGCGGACGGGUGAGUAACGCGUAAAGAACUUGCCUCACAGAUAGGGACAACAUUUGGAAACGAAUGCUAAUACCUGAUAUUAUGAUUAUAUGGCAUCGUAUAAUUAUGAAAGCUAUAUGCGCUGUGAGAGAGCUUUGCGUCCCAUUAGCUAGUUGGAGAGGUAACGGCUCACCAAGGCGAUGAUGGGUAGCCGGCCUGAGAGGGUGAUCGGCCACAAGGGGACUGAGACACGGCCCUUACUCCUACGGGAGGCAGCAGUGGGGAAUAUUGGACAAUGGACCAAGAGUCUGAUCCAGCAAUUCUGUGUGCACGAUGAAGUUUUUCGGAAUGUAAAGUGCUUUCAGUUGGGAAGAAAAAAAUGACGAUACCAACAGAAGAAGUGACGGCUAAAUACGUG